This 1382-nucleotide ribosomal RNA is filed under the name uncultured bacterium. RNAcentral's name for it is "bacterial SSU rRNA". It matches the Rfam family "Bacterial small subunit ribosomal RNA", at positions 18 to 1396 of the family's 1533-position model. The record is from RNAcentral.
CCUGGCUCAGGAUGAACGCUAGCUACAGGCUUAACACAUGCAAGUCGAGGGGCAGCAUCAUCAAAGCUUGCUUUGAUGGAUGGCGACCGGCGCACGGGUGAGUAACACGUAUCCAACCUGCCGACAACACUGGGAUAGCCUUUCGAAAGAAAGAUUAAUACCGGAUGGCAUAAUUAUUCCGCAUGAGAUAAUUAUUAAAGAAUUUCGGUUGUCGAUGGGGAUGCGUUCCAUUAGGCAGUUGGCGGGGUAACGGCCCACCAAACCUACGAUGGAUAGGGGUUCUGAGAGGAAGGUCCCCCACAUUGGAACUGAGACACGGUCCAAACUCCUACGGGAGGCAGCAGUGAGGAAUAUUGGUCAAUGGACGAGAGUCUGAACCAGCCAAGUAGCGUGAAGGAUGACUGCCCUAUGGGUUGUAAACUUCUUUUAUACGGGAAUAAAGUGAGCCACGUGUGGCUUUUUGUAUGUACCGUAUGAAUAAGGAUCGGCUAACUCCGUGCCAGCAGCCGCGGUAAUACGGAGGAUCCGAGCGUUAUCCGGAUUUAUUGGGUUUAAAGGGAGCGUAGGCGGGUUGUUAAGUCAGUUGUGAAAGUUUGCGGCUCAACCGUAAAAUUGCAGUUGAUACUGGCGACCUUGAGUGCAACAGAGGUAGGCGGAAUUCGUGGUGUAGCGGUGAAAUGCUUAGAUAUCACGAAGAACUCCGAUUGCGAAGGCAGCUUACUGGAUUGUAACUGACGCUGAUGCUCGAAAGUGUGGGUAUCAAACAGGAUUAGAUACCCUGGUAGUCCACACAGUAAACGAUGAAUACUCGCUGUUGGCGAUAUACUGUCAGCGGCCAAGCGAAAGCAUUAAGUAUUCCACCUGGGGAGUACGCCGGCAACGGUGAAACUCAAAGGAAUUGACGGGGGCCCGCACAAGCGGAGGAACAUGUGGUUUAAUUCGAUGAUACGCGAGGAACCUUACCCGGGCUUAAAUUGCAACUGACGGAACCGGAAACGGAUCUUUCUUCGGACAGUUGUGAAGGUGCUGCAUGGUUGUCGUCAGCUCGUGCCGUGAGGUGUCGGCUUAAGUGCCAUAACGAGCGCAACCCUUACGGGUAGUUACCAUCAGGUUAUGCUGGGGACUCUACCCGGACUGCCGUCGUAAGAUGUGAGGAAGGUGGGGAUGACGUCAAAUCAGCACGGCCCUUACGUCCGGGGCUACACACGUGUUACAAUGGGGGGUACAGAAGGCAGCUACACGGCGACGUGGUGCUAAUCCCAAAAGCCUCUCUCAGUUCGGAUUGGAGUCUGCAACCCGACUCCAUGAAGCUGGAUUCGCUAGUAAUCGCGCAUCAGCCACGGCGCGGUGAAUACGUUCCCGGGCCUUGUACACACCGCCCG